UUAUUCAUAGCUCAACUGGAAGAGCAUUUACCUUGUAAGUAAGGGGCUGUAGGUUCAAUCCCUACUGAGUAAA
RNAcentral lists this transfer RNA (73 nucleotides) under Plenaster craigi. RNAcentral describes it as "tRNA-Thr". It matches the Rfam family "tRNA". Rfam says of the family: Transfer RNA (tRNA) molecules are approximately 80 nucleotides in length. Their secondary structure includes four short double-helical elements and three loops (D, anti-codon, and T loops). The record is from RNAcentral. Lineage: Eukaryota; Metazoa; Porifera; Demospongiae; Axinellida; Stelligeridae.